CCAGCGCGCUUGCGCCGGCAGGGUUUGGUCCCUGAGGCUCCCUUGCUUGGACCUGGGAACCGGGGCUUCUGAAGGCUGGAGACUGCGGAUUGCAGAAAGCCCAUCAUCUCACAGGAUUAUGUGAAGAAGGUGCACAGGGAAGAAAGAACCGACCUGGGCCAAAGUGAAAUGAGAAGCCUCGUGUCCCAUGUACCAAGUACUUGUUUACUGGCUCUCCUGCAGCAUUGUCUGUAAUCAUUUUUAGAAAAGGGAUGGGGUGGGUAAAAGAAAUCAUCCAGUGGAGUCUUA
This is a long non-coding RNA of Leopardus geoffroyi (Geoffroy's cat), 288 nucleotides long. RefSeq lists it as uncharacterized. The record is from RefSeq and is a predicted model, not a curated record. The transcript has 2 exons. NCBI's taxonomy places the organism in Eukaryota, Metazoa, Chordata, Mammalia, Carnivora, Felidae.